Leopardus geoffroyi (Geoffroy's cat) is the source of this 575-nucleotide long non-coding RNA. RefSeq lists it as uncharacterized. The record is from RefSeq and is a predicted model, not a curated record. Lineage: Eukaryota; Metazoa; Chordata; Mammalia; Carnivora; Felidae. The transcript has 2 exons.
CCACUCAGAGCAGCACUGGCCAUCCACAUUGAGAGAUUUUAAUCUUUCCACAUAAAUCACUCCCUCCGGCUCCUUAAUCAUAGGUGACACUCGCAGCGCCGGCAUCUCGCGCUCUGGUUUCCCUGAAAGGUCUUGCAAGCUAAGCAGGGUGAAGCUGAGUCAGUAACUGAGAUGAAAGACACAAGAACCACCCAGGAAAUGCACACAAAAGGAGUCCACAGACAGCACAUGUCUCUCUGAGCCUCUGCUUCUCACGGUCCGGAAGAGGGACUCCCCGGGUCUAAAACCCCGCUGUUUUCCGAGUGAGGAGCCGGCCCGCAACCCCCACGGCGCGCUGUGCUCACCGGUGGAAACCGGAAGGUACCCCAAAGCCAGGAUCCCCCAAAGCCCCUUCAGCUUUCUAUGCUCUGCGCCUGUGCUCCCAACUUCCUUUAAGAGGCACGUGAUCAGAGUUUUGGCGGAACCAGUCGCGAUGGAACUGGCAGGAGGACUUUCAAUCCAGCUGGAAAGAGAAAUGGUUUUUCUCCUUUUCUGGAAACUGGAAGUAAUCAAAUACAGAAGCUUAAGAAGCUUAA